AUAGCCCAAGCUUAAUUGUGGAGUGUUUUGGAGUCUUUCCUUCUAUUUAUGGUCAAUACACAUGAAGGUGUCUCUUUGUUAUCAAACCAGGAGAAAAUGUCACAUGCAUAGACCUCAAUCUGCAGUUGGAGUGGUUCAAAACCAGAGGCUUGAAAUUAAUUAUUGAUUUGUGAGCAUUCAACAUUUUCCUCCCGUUGAAUGAUGAGAGUUUCCUUCAGGUAUAUCCAGUAAGCAUUAUAGUCAUCAUGAUGAGAGUUUCCUUCAGGUAUAUCCAGUAAGCAUUAUAGUCAUCAUGAUGAGAGUUUCCUUCAGGUAUAUCCAGUAAGCAUUAUAGUCAUCAUGAUGAGAGUUUCCUUCAGGUAUAUCCAGUAAGCAUUAUAGUCAUCAUGAUGAGAGUUUCCUUCAGGUAUAUCCAGUAAGCAUUAUAGUCAUCAUGAUGAGAGUUUCCUUCAGGUAUAUCCAGUAAGCAUUAUAGUCAUCAUGAUGAGAGUUUCCUUCAGGUAUAUCCAGUAAGCAUUAUAGUCAUCAUGAUGAGAGUUUCCUUCAGGUAUAUCCAGUAAGCAUUAUAGUCAUCAUGAUGAGAGUUUCCUUCAGGUAUAUCCAGUAAGCAUUAUAGUCAUCAUGAUGAGAGUUUCCUUCAGGUAUAUCCAGUAAGCAUUAUAGUCAUCAUGAUGAGAGUUUCCUUCAGGUAUAUCCAGUAAGCAUUAUAGUCAUCAUGAUGAGAGUUUCCUUCAGGUAUAUCCAGUAAGCAUUAUAGUCAUCAUGAUGAGAGUUUCCUUCAGGUAUAUCCAGUAAGCAGUGUAGUCAUCAAAUAAAGCUCUAUUGACCUGCAUUUGUAAUAAUUCUCCAAUAUCACCCCUCUCUGUCAAUUGCAGGACUGUGAGGAACGUGAGGGAAUCAGGUUAGACUGAUUCACGUCUAGGCUUCAGAGACAGCCAUUCCUGCUACUUCACUGUUUGUCUUAUGAUUGUUAAUAGCCAGUCAAUCAUCCUGUUAUCUUAGACAGUCAACCAUUGAAAUGUGUUGGGUUCCCUAGAGGGAUGAUGCACUAGUCUGGUGCUGACAGACUCCUAUACCUCAGACACAGACUGGCAGCAGGUUCUGCUGGGGAGAGAGAGCAGGGAGAGGACGCCAUGUAUCUCAGCUAAAUGAACCCGUCAUAAUGUCACACACCAACCAUGCCAUGCUAAAGAGUCUGGACAACAUUGACUACUGUGAAACAAUGAAACCAAACGUUUUCCACAAUGAUGGAGUCCCUUCCCCUCCCCUUCCCCACCCUAUACUGUACC
Long non-coding RNA from Oncorhynchus keta (chum salmon), 1289 nucleotides. RefSeq lists it as uncharacterized. The transcript is spliced from 3 exons. NCBI's taxonomy places the organism in Eukaryota, Metazoa, Chordata, Actinopteri, Salmoniformes, Salmonidae. The record is from RefSeq and is a predicted model, not a curated record.